This 447-nucleotide ribosomal RNA is filed under the name uncultured bacterium. RNAcentral describes it as "bacterial SSU rRNA". It matches the Rfam family "Bacterial small subunit ribosomal RNA", at positions 355 to 825 of the family's 1533-position model. The record is from RNAcentral.
UGGGGAAUUGUUCGCAAUGGGCGCAAGCCUGACGACGCAACGCCGCGUGAAAGAUGAAGUAUUUCGGUAUGUAAACUUCGAAAGAAUAGGAAGAAUAAAUGACGGUACUAUUUAUAAGGUCCGGCUAACUACGUGCCAGCAGCCGCGGUAAUACGUAGGGACCAAGCGUUGUUCGGAUUUACUGGGCGUAAAGGGCGCGUAGGCGGCAAUUCAAGUCAUCUGUGAAAUCUCCGGGCUUAACUCGGAACGGUCAGAUGAUACUGCUUUGCUAGAGUGCAGAAGGGGCAAUCGGAAUUCUUGGUGUAGCGGUGAAAUGCGUAGAUAUCAAGAGGAACACCUGAGGUGAAGACGGGUUGCUGGGCUGACACUGACGCUGAGGCGCGAAAGCCAGGGGAGCAAACUGGAUUAGAUACCCACGUAGUCCCUGAGCGGGCUGGCAAGGCGCAU